GGACAGGUGGCCGAGUGGUCGAAGGCGCACGCCUGGAAAGUGUGUAGGCUCGGAAGGGUCUCCAGGGUUCGAAUCCCUGUCUGUCCGCCA
RNAcentral lists this transfer RNA (90 nucleotides) under Roseobacter sp. N2S. Its description in RNAcentral is "tRNA-Ser". It matches the Rfam family "tRNA". Rfam says of the family: Transfer RNA (tRNA) molecules are approximately 80 nucleotides in length. Their secondary structure includes four short double-helical elements and three loops (D, anti-codon, and T loops). The record is from RNAcentral. Lineage: Bacteria; Pseudomonadati; Pseudomonadota; Alphaproteobacteria; Rhodobacterales; Roseobacteraceae.